Molecule: ribosomal RNA, 445 nt
Filed under: uncultured bacterium
Lineage: Bacteria
Description: bacterial SSU rRNA
Rfam family: Bacterial small subunit ribosomal RNA
Source: RNAcentral
UAGGGAAUCUUCCGCAAUGGACGCAAGUCUGACGGAGCAACGCCGCGUGAGUGAAGAAGGUUUUCGGAUCGUAAAACUCUGUUGUUAGAGAAGAACAAGUGCUAGAGUAACUGUUAGCGCCUUGACGGUAUCUAACCAGAAAGCCACGGCUAACUACGUGCCAGCAGCCGCGGUAAUACGUAGGUGGCAAGCGUUGUCCGGAUUUAUUGGGCGUAAAGCGAGCGCAGGCGGUUCCUUAAGUCUGAUGUGAAAGCCCCCGGCUCAACCGGGGAGGGUCAUUGGAAACUGGGGAACUUGAGUGCAGAAGAGGAGAGUGGAAUUCCAUGUGUAGCGGUGAAAUGCGUAGAUAUAUGGAGGAACACCAGUGGCGAAGGCGACUCUCUGGUCUGUAACUGACGCUGAGGCUCGAAAGCGUUGGUAGCAAACAGGAUUAGAUACCCUGGUA